Molecule: ribosomal RNA, 480 nt
Filed under: uncultured bacterium
Lineage: Bacteria
Description: partial 16S ribosomal RNA
Rfam family: Bacterial small subunit ribosomal RNA
Source: RNAcentral
GACGAACGCUGGCGGCGUGCUUAACACAUGCAAGUCGAACGAUGAAGAAAAGAAUUGAAGCUUCGGCAGAAAUUCAUUUCGGAUUAGUGGCAGACGGGUGAGUAACGCGUGAGCAACCUACCUCUUACAAAGGGAUAGCCUCGGGAAACCGGGAUUAAUACCAUAUAACAUUGCGACGAAGCAUUUCGAUGCAAUCAAAGCUACGGCGGUAAGAGAUGGGCUCGCGUCCCAUUAACCAGAUGGUGAGGUAACGGCUCACCAUAGUAACGAUGGGUAACCGGCCUGUGAGGGUGAACGGUCACACUGGAACUGAGACACGGUCCAGAAUCCUACGGGAGGCAGCAGUGGGGAAUAUAGCACAAUGGAGGGAACGCUGAUGCAGCGACGCCGCGUGAGUGAUGAAGGAAUUCGUGACGUAAAACUCUGUUCUAUGGGAAGAAAAUGACUGUACCAUAGGAGAAAGCUCCGGCUAAAUACGUG